This is a long non-coding RNA of Bombina bombina (fire-bellied toad), 1161 nucleotides long. RefSeq lists it as uncharacterized. Lineage: Eukaryota; Metazoa; Chordata; Amphibia; Anura; Bombinatoridae. The transcript is spliced from 3 exons. The record is from RefSeq and is a predicted model, not a curated record.
AAAAAAUCUCAAGAUCCAACAGACCAAUCAUUAUUUUGAAAUCCAGAUGGCCUCAAUCAUAAAGCACACCUUAAAUCUACUGCAGCAGAACACGAAUCCUCAUAGUUGUUUUUCCUCAAGAUAAAAAACAAGUGUUGAAACCAGGUUGAGUCAUUACAAGAUCCCAUACUGAACAAGAAAAUCCUUUCCUUUUUCUUUGUUAAUUUGACAAAUGACAUCAAGCAGCGUGGUUGCAGUCCAAAGAUGCAAGAUGGAUAGAAGCCUGUCAAACACAGAUUGAAAAAUGUAAUAAGCCAAAGCAAGUAUUAUGUCUAACAAAUGCUCUGCAAUGGAAUCCCUGGCAGAAAAAUGAUCAUUCAAAUGUCCUCACUCCAAGAUAACUCUUGUGUUUGAAAUCAGUCAAGGGUGUGGAAAUCCUUCAUGAACCACUCAAUGAAAUGAUGCCAAGCAUUGUUUCAAAAAAUAUUGUAGUCCAAGAAAUCCUCAUACACUUUUAGAACUUUAGGCCACACUUUUCUGAUCUUAGGGAGAAAUAAUUUUGAAUAAUGUGAAUCUUAUUUUCUUAUUUGUUGAUAAAAAACAAUUUACUUUACAUUCAUAAGAAGAGAUAUCAUGGAAACAAAACACGUUAAUCUGCAAAAUUAUUUACUUUUUUGCAAUGGUUAGUUACUUCUAAGUAAAAUUUGAAAUACUAUUGGCUAGAUUACGAGUUGUGCAUUAAGGUAAAAAGCAGCGUUAAGAGGUCCUAACACUGCUUUUUUAUGCCCACUGGUAUAACGAGUCUUGAAGGUUUAGGAUCACCGCACACUUCUUUGGCCUUACCGCAAAACGACUUACGUAAACUUUGUAAAGUCUUUUUUCUAUGGGACUUCCAUAGUGCUGAUAUUACGAGUCUGUCCUGGGAGACCAAAAAGUGAGCGGUACACCCUACCUCGUCAAGAGUCCUAAUGCAUUUAAAAGUCAGUAGUUAUGAGUUUUAUGGUACAACGCCGUAACAUAAAACGCAUAAGUAAAGUGCUAAAAAAUACACUAACACCCAUAAACUACCUAUUAACCCCUAAACCGAGGCCCUCCCGCAUCGCAAACACUACAGGGAGUGCAGAAUUAUUAGGCAAGUUGUAUUUUUGAGGAUUAAUUUUAUUAUUGAACAACAACCAUGUU